CACAUAAGGCGGACAUGGUUGCAUUCUACGGAGUUAUUGAAGAAAUCAUACUCCUCAACUACCAUAUGUUUCAGAUUUUACUCUUCAAGUGUAAGUGGGCGAACAAAGGUCACAGUGUGAAAGAAGAGCAAGGAUUUACACUAGUGAACCUCCAAGUGAACCAGUCUCCGUAUAUCCAAGAUCCGUAUACUAUGGCAUCACAAGCAAAACAAAUCUUUUACGCUAAAGAAGAUGAUUCCUCACCUUGGUCUGUCGUUAUGAGGGUGCCACCUAGAGGGUAUCAUGAGCUUGAGUUAGAGAAGGAGUUUGUUGCCGCAACUUUGACAAUUCCAGAAAUUGAAGAUUAUGUGAACCAGUCCUCUGAUGACGAAAGUUUUGUGUUAGAGAUGAUUGUGAAGCAGUCUUAGUAGUGGAAUAGUUGGUUGAAGUAAUUUUUGCUGGUAGUUCAUAGAUUAUUGGUUGUGUUUCAGGUUUGCUAAAAUGGCAAAGCGAGGAGAUACAGUCACUACCCGACGCAGUCGACGUCAAUCAGGCAUUCCCCCGACCCCUGCAGAGAUGAUCAGAAAAAAGCAAACUGGUACUCAGGCAAAAAAACAACGUCGCCAAGAGGCUGCACAGGAAGAAGAAGAACACAGAGAAACUGAAGAGAAUGGAUAAGCUGAUAUGGAAGAUGGAGAUGAGUAUUUAGAGGAUGUAACAUUGCAGUGCGAUGGAGAAGCUCAUGAAGAGAAUACGCAGCCUCAGGAAGAGCGUACGCAACCUCAAGAAGAGCGUACGCAGCCUCAGGAAGAGAGUAUGCAUCCAUCAACUGGAGAAGCUCAAAAUGAAGAAACAGUCACCAAAAAAGCGAACUCGAGGUCUAACUAAGAUGCGUAGAGUUACUAAACAACCAGAGGAAAAGGUUGAUGUUGAGUUCACAUCUCUGGAUGGACAUGUUGGCAAAGGAUCUGUAACUCUGUCAUCCUUUCUUGGACCUCUAGUGAGAGAGCAUGUUCAUGUACUACUUGAUGAUUGGAGGCACCUCGAUGAAAAAACUAGCUACGUUCUGUGGGAGGAGAUUCAGGGAAGGCUCAAUUUAAUAGAAGAUUGGCAAAAAGCUUGUGUUUUCAAGCAAAUGGGUUGUAUAUGGCGAGCUUCAAAGUCUAGGCUUGUUUCCCAAAUCCGAAGUGCGAGUAGGACAAUAAUACCUACAUUAAAACCGAGCAACAUCCAGUCAAUGGCAGAAUGGAAUAAAUGGGUCAAGAGUAAAACUACAGACGAAUUCAAGAUACACAGUGACAAAUAUAGGGAGCCAAGGAAGGAGCAAAUACCCCCACACCACCAGCCGCAAAGGAAUGAUUCGCCUAGCUCAUGAGAUGAAACAAAAGAGCUAUGACCCUAGCAAGGUGACUAGGAGUAAGAUUUGGGUGGCAGGACACACUCAUUCUAAUGGAAGACUUGUCAAACCAGAAUUUGCAGAGACAAUUGAACAAAUAAAGUCAAUUGAUACUGAAAUGAGAUCCACAUGUAGUAAUAACUUCAGAGAUGAUGUUGUGAGUCAAGUGUUAGGUAAAGACAAGAAUCGAAGAGUCAGAGGGAUGGGCGGAGGAGUUAUUGCUUCAAAGCUAGCAUUCGUUCAGGCUAGAAACACGCAUGUACAGAAGCUUGAAGAGACACAUUUGCAAUUUCUCAAGAAGAUCGAAGAGCUGCAGACGCAUGUGCAUAAGUUUUUUUUUUUGUCAAAACAUUCUGAUGGUUCUGUAGCUGAGAUUACCAGUGCUAGCAAGGUAGUUAUGAGGUGUCAGCUUCUGGAUUGGUGUGAAGUAGGUGAUGAUGCUUAUGUCUAGAGGCCAACCACAAGUAUAUUUUCACUUGGUCAAGCAUUGGAUAGCAAAAUAUCCUGGCCAGCUGAAAAGAUCAUUCUGGAUAACGACCACAACUCCACCAGAAAUUCAAACUACUGCUUCAUCGGCAUCAUCGGAUAAAAUACGCAUCUGUGACUGGACUUGCGAUGAUGUGAUUGCUGAGGGUGGUUUGUUUUCAACUGAUCUAAAGCAACUGGUCAGCAAUAUUCUCUUUGGACCCAAUGCUGCAAUUGUGAAGAUUGAAAAAGUGAUUAAGAAGGAGGCUUUGUGGAGACCUAGUCCUGAGAUGUCAACAAUUGAUGAUGCACUUCGUCUCAGUAUCGCUUGGCCAAUUCAGAAGAUAGAUAUUAUUAAUCAAUCACCAUUUAGAGUUUCACCAUUAUUCUCUUCACCUCGGAGUGUUAGUAACAUCUUGGACACAGCUAAAUCAAGUCCAGAGAAGAAGUACCUCUUGUUGGAUUGCUUAAACUCAGGAAAGACUGUGGCUGAAGACCGUCUUGUUUCCACAAAUCCAGAGGAUAGAGUACACUUUGUCCCGUUAGGAGAAAAUGCUUGCAAGGUCUUCGUUUGAGUGGCAAAGAUUGGAGAUGCAAGAGUUUGGAGACCAAAUGCAGAAGUUGAAUGUAUAUCUGAUGCUCUAGGUACCACUGUGGCUUGGCCUGAUGACAAAGUA
Molecule: long non-coding RNA, 2517 nt
Organism: Brassica oleracea var. oleracea
Lineage: Eukaryota; Viridiplantae; Streptophyta; Magnoliopsida; Brassicales; Brassicaceae
Exons: 7
Source: RefSeq, a predicted model, not a curated record